This is a long non-coding RNA of Panthera uncia (snow leopard), 1145 nucleotides long. RefSeq lists it as uncharacterized. The record is from RefSeq and is a predicted model, not a curated record. The transcript is spliced from 3 exons. Lineage: Eukaryota; Metazoa; Chordata; Mammalia; Carnivora; Felidae.
AAGUGGUGUCACAAUUCAGAACACCUAGGUUCUAAUCUUAACCGGCAUACCCAGCUGCCUGGAGUUUUACAAAUCAUUUUAUUACUCUGGGUUUGAGUUUCCUGCUUGCAAACCUGGGAUAACAAACAGGUCUAUCCCUUAAAAGUUUCUAGAAAUGUACCUGUGAUUGUAAACCUAAUAUGCUCUAUAGAUUAUUUUAAAGCACUGUGAAAGCGUUUACCAUUAUCAUUGACCGCCAUUACCUAAAAAUCUCUGUUUAACCCAUCUACCUUGCAUCUGACCCACGGAUCUCUGGUACUAGGUUGCAGACCAAUGUUCUUCCAGGAUUGGCUACGCAGAUACGCGACACUAUAGAUGUCACAGUCACGGUGCACACCUGACUUCAAAGCUGCUUUUCUUUAGCCUCCUGAAUGAAAUCACCACAUUCUACAACCUCAAGCUGGAACUUCCUACAACUCAGCGUGACACUGACCUCAUUAUCUAAGAAACUUACCAGCAACUCAUCACUGAGAAGAUAUAACACUUUGUAUGGUGUUAUUUUUUUUCCUAUCCCUGACAUGGAAAUAAUCCAAAAUUAAAAUGCAGAGCAUCUUCCCAACCAACUACCUCCAUGGAUUUCACAUUCUUGACUGUAGAAUAUUUUUGCUGAACGCUACUUAUAUGUAGUUCUACACAUUUUCUGCAUAAAUGGGCACAACAGACAAAGGGACUUUUAAGAAAUAAACUAAAUGUGCCUAAUAGAGGAUUUACUCAUAAAUAAAAUUAAAAUAUUAUAUGCAGUGACAUGUUAAAUAACACCUAAUAAGAAAUCAUACAGAAAAGUAAGGUCAUUUUAGUGAUAUGUCAUUUUGAAUUAGGGGGAGAGGGUAUUUAUUAGUGUUACAGUAUUAAUAAGCCUGUAACAUACUAAAUUACCUGUUGGUUUUAUUUUGGUCACCUGUAUCAAUAAAACUUUGAUUCACACAUUUAAAUAACUAUACACAGUGACAAUGUUUAAUUAAGUAAAGAAUGCAGAAGAAGGGGGCAGCUGGAUGGCUCAGACUCUUGAUUUCCGCUCAGGUCACGAUCUCAUGGUUUGUGAGUAUGAGCCCUGCAUCGGGCACUGCCCUGACAGCAUGGAACCUGCUUGGGAUUCUCUCUCUCCC